Molecule: ribosomal RNA, 465 nt
Filed under: uncultured bacterium
Lineage: Bacteria
Description: partial 16S ribosomal RNA
Rfam family: Bacterial small subunit ribosomal RNA
Source: RNAcentral
CUACGGGCGGCUGCAGUGGGGAAUAUUGGACAAUGGGGGAAACCCUGAUCCAGCAAUGCCGCGUGUGUGAAGAAGGCCUGCGGGUUGUAAAGCACUUUCGGUUGGGAGGACUGCUUCUAGCACUAAUAUUGUUGGAAGUUGACGUUACCUUCAGAAGAAGCACCGGCUAACUCCGUGCCAGCAGCCGUGGUAAUACGGAGGGUGCAAGCGUUAAUCGGAAUUACUGGGCGUAAAGCGCGCGUAGGCGGCUAGAUCAGUCGGGUGUGAAAGCCCCGGGCUUAACCUGGGAACUGCAUCCGAUACUGUCUAGCUCGAGUACAGGAGAGGAGAGUGGAAUUCCACAUGUAGCGGUGAAAUGCGUAGAUAUGUGGAGGAACACCAAUGGCGAAGGCAGCUCUCUGGCCUGAUACUGACGCUGAGGAGCGAAAGCGUGGGGAGCAAACAGGAUUAGAUACCCCGGUAGUC